CUUGCUCCUCUGAUCAGUGGCGAACGGGUGAGUAACACGUGAGCAACCUGCCCCAGACUCUGGGAUAACAGAUGGAAACAGCUGCUAAUACCGGAUACGAGACGGAGAGGCAUCUCUACCGUCUGGAAAGUUUUUCGGUCUGGGAUGGACUCGCGGCCUAUCUACUAGUUGGUGAGGUAAUGGCUCACCAAGGCGACGACGGGUAGCCGGCCUGAGAGGGCGACCGGCCACACUGGGACUGAGACACGGCCCAGACUCCUACGGGAGGCAGCAGUGGGGAAUAUUGCACAAUGGGCGAAAGCCUGAUGCAGCGACGCCGCGUGAGGGAUGACGGCCUUCGGGUUGUAAACCCUCUUUCAGCAGGGAAGAAGCGAAAGUGACGGUACCUGCAAAAGAAGCACCGGCUAACUACGUGCCAGCAGCCGCGGUAAUACGUAGGGUGCGAGCGUUGUCCGGAAUUAUUGGGCGUAAAGAGCUUGU
This 480-nucleotide ribosomal RNA is filed under the name uncultured bacterium. Its description in RNAcentral is "bacterial SSU rRNA". It matches the Rfam family "Bacterial small subunit ribosomal RNA", at positions 79 to 572 of the family's 1533-position model. The record is from RNAcentral.